CGGGAGGUUGGCGCGGACGUGUUCCUCGUCGAUCGGGUCAGGUCCGGAAGGAAGCAGCCCAGGUGAGAUCCUCACGGGUCGAUGUCCAACCUCCUACUC
RNAcentral lists this signal recognition particle RNA (99 nucleotides) under Devosia sp. MC521. RNAcentral's name for it is "Bacterial small signal recognition particle RNA". It matches the Rfam family "Bacterial small signal recognition particle RNA". Rfam says of the family: The signal recognition particle (SRP) is a universally conserved ribonucleoprotein involved in the co-translational targeting of proteins to membranes. Archaeal SRP consists of a 7S RNA and homologues of the eukaryotic SRP19 and SRP54 proteins. The record is from Rfam by way of RNAcentral. Lineage: Bacteria; Pseudomonadati; Pseudomonadota; Alphaproteobacteria; Hyphomicrobiales; Devosiaceae. RNAcentral also lists the same sequence under 2 other names.